CAGAGUUCUGGCCUUAGGCAAAUUUGAGUGGUUUAAAGGAUCACUGACCCAGUGGCCCCAAGGUGGGUUUAGUUUUAGAAAGAAUGAGCUUUGCUCCCAAGCUCAGGUGGCAGAUGAGGAAUCUUCCAUCUGCAGCUGAUGGAAUGGGCCUCCUGAUGAUGUGAUGAUGUUUUAAGGAAAUUUGCUGAUGCUGGGAUAUGGACAGAGCUCUACUGGCCCAGGAAAUGAGGCAGGGCUCGCUCAGCAUUGAACGGAGACAUAAAGGUGGGAGAUAAAUGCGGAAUGAAAGACACAGGAGAAUGCUGUAGGUGUAAAGCAAGUCUGUGACCCCGUGGACCGUGGCUGCUGGGUUAUGGCUUCCUGGGAACAAGACUCCAAGGCUCUGCAGUGUUCAACAUUUCCAGUCAAGCAUUCAAAAUGUCUCAGAGAUGAGGAAGGAAGUCUAGUGAAGAGUUUUUUCCAAGACUUUAAUUACCAGUGUGUGUAACAUGCAGAACUUUUAUUGGGCACCCAGCCAAGCAUGGGGCUGGAGAGGGGUAGGCUCACUUCCAGCCUGGAGCUCUCCUGCCCCCAUGGCUCAGGUGGGUGUUGGCCUGCACAGACUUGAAAACUGAGGCUGGCAGUGGAGCAGAAGCAAAGAGACCCCACCUCGUGCCAAGAUCUAACUGAUUCACCUGCUCACCUAUUCAUUUGUUGAACACAUGUUUAUGGGAUGCUGCCGUGGUCUGAAUGACGUCUUCCCCAAAUUCAUAUAAGGAAAUCCUCACCCCAGCAUGGUUAUUAGGAGGUAGGGUAGAGCCUUUGGGAGGUGAUUAGGCCAUGGGGGUGGAACCCUCAUGAAUGGAAUUAGUGCCCUUAUAAAACUAGGCUCCAGAGAGACCCCUCACCCCUUCCACCAUGCGAGAACACAGUGCAAAGAGGGCUGUCUAUGAGGAAGCCGACCCUCACAAGACCUGGAAUCUGCCAAUAACUUGCUCUUGGGCUUCCCAGACUUCUGAAAGGUGAGAAAUAAAUGCCUGUCGUUAAUAAGUCACCUCCUCUGUGGUAUUUGGUGAUAGCAGCCUGAAUGGACAUGGCUAACUACUUGCUGGGCAUUGGUUAAACCCUGAAGAGAGAGUAAGAGACAGAGUUUCCUAUUCUCCAUGGGUUCUGCAUUUAAGUUGG
Molecule: long non-coding RNA, 1164 nt
Filed under: Callithrix jacchus (white-tufted-ear marmoset)
Lineage: Eukaryota; Metazoa; Chordata; Mammalia; Primates; Cebidae
Description: lncRNA (ENSCJAG00000084728.1)
Source: RNAcentral